AAAUUGAAGAGUUUGAUCAUGGCUCAGAUUGAACGCUGGCGGCAGGCCUAACACAUGCAAGUCGAACGGUAACAGGAAGCGCUUGCUGCUUCGCUGACGAGUGGCGGACGGGUGAGUAAUGUCUGGGAAACUGCCUGAUGGAGGGGGAUAACUACUGGAAACGGUAGCUAAUACCGCAUAACGUCGCAAGACCAAAGAGGGGGACCUUCGGGCCUCUUGCCAUCG
RNAcentral lists this ribosomal RNA (225 nucleotides) under Shigella flexneri. Its description in RNAcentral is "partial 16S ribosomal RNA". It matches the Rfam family "Bacterial small subunit ribosomal RNA", at positions 1 to 223 of the family's 1533-position model. The record is from RNAcentral. Lineage: Bacteria; Pseudomonadati; Pseudomonadota; Gammaproteobacteria; Enterobacterales; Enterobacteriaceae.